UCCAGGUGAAAACAAUAACGUCGAUCUCCUGAGGAAGGAGACUGUCUUAUUUAUUGAUAAGCUGACUAAUUAUUCAAAUUAUAAUUAUUAACCGACUGAAUAUGGGGAAUGAGGUCUUCGCCGAAGGGAAUUCUGAGAAGAGAGAAUCGGCCACGGUCACUGCAGUGAAGCUAGUUAUCUGUUCAAGAUUAUUACAUAUAAAGGUUCGACGUUUGAAGAGGCAAGAAGUCAACAUCAAUUGCUUCAAGAAGCUUCAAGAUGAUCUCUCCAUCUUCCACCAGCCGCAACAUUUUCAAAACUUGUACCGGACAGAUAUGAGAUUUAGAUAAAAUAAAAAAGUCAAUUUAUUUUCAGUA
Long non-coding RNA from Macrobrachium nipponense, 356 nucleotides. RefSeq lists it as uncharacterized. The transcript has 2 exons. NCBI's taxonomy places the organism in Eukaryota, Metazoa, Arthropoda, Malacostraca, Decapoda, Palaemonidae. The record is from RefSeq and is a predicted model, not a curated record.